UGGGGGGAGUAUUGCACAAUGGGGGAAACCCGUAGAUGCAGCAACGCCGCGUGAAGGAAGAAGGUCUUCGGAUUGUAAACUUUUGUCCUUGGUGAAGAUAAUGACGGUAGCCAAGGAGGAAGCUCCGGCUAACUACGUGCCAGCAGCCGCGGUAAUACGUAGGGAGCGAGCGUUGUCCGGAUUUACUGGGUGUAAAGGGUGCGUAGGCGGAAGAGCAAGUCAGUAGUGAAAUCCAUGGGCUUAACCCGUGAACUGCUAUUGAAACUGUUCUUCUUGAGUGAAGUAGAGGUAGGCGGAAUUCCCGGUGUAGCGGUGAAAUGCGUAGAGAUCGGGAGGAACACCAGUGGCGAAGGCGGCUUGCUGGACGACAACUGACGCUGAGGCGCGAAAGCGUGGGGAGCAAACAGGGAUUAGAUA
This 417-nucleotide ribosomal RNA is filed under the name uncultured Clostridium sp. RNAcentral describes it as "bacterial SSU rRNA". It matches the Rfam family "Bacterial small subunit ribosomal RNA", at positions 353 to 784 of the family's 1533-position model. Lineage: Bacteria; Bacillati; Bacillota; Clostridia; Eubacteriales; Clostridiaceae. The record is from RNAcentral.